This 459-nucleotide ribosomal RNA is filed under the name uncultured bacterium. RNAcentral describes it as "partial 16S ribosomal RNA". It matches the Rfam family "Bacterial small subunit ribosomal RNA", at positions 338 to 795 of the family's 1533-position model. The record is from RNAcentral.
CCUACGGGUGGCAGCAGUGGGGGAUAUUGCACAAUGGGGGGAACCCUGAUGCAGCGACGCCGCGUGGGGGACGACGGUCCUAUGGAUUGUAAACCUCUUUUGUCGGGGAACAAAGGCGCCCACGGGUGGGCGGAUGAGUGUACCCGAAGAAAAAGCAUCGGCUAACUCCGUUCCAGCAGCCGCGGUAAUACGGAGGAUGCGAGCGUUAUCCGGAUUUAUUGGGUUUAAAGGGUGCGUAGGCGGACAGUCAAGUCAGCGGUAAAAAUGCGGUGCUCAACGCCGUACAGCCGUUGAAACUGGCAGUCUUGAGUGGGCGAGAAGUAUGCGGAAUGCGUGGUGUAGCGGUGAAAUGCAUAGAUAUCACGCAGAACUCCGAUUGCGAAGGCAGCAUACCGGCGCCCGACGGACGCUGAGGCACGAAAGCGUGGGUAUCGAACAGGAUUAGAUACCCCUGUAGUC